AAAGAAUUAAUUUAAAAAAAUAAUAGUUAGUCAAACUAUAAAUAUUAGAAUUAUUCUAAUAUUCUUUA
RNAcentral lists this transfer RNA (68 nucleotides) under Diprion wenshanicus. Its description in RNAcentral is "tRNA-Asp". Lineage: Eukaryota; Metazoa; Arthropoda; Insecta; Hymenoptera; Diprionidae. The record is from RNAcentral.